Molecule: ribosomal RNA, 789 nt
Filed under: uncultured bacterium
Lineage: Bacteria
Description: bacterial SSU rRNA
Rfam family: Bacterial small subunit ribosomal RNA
Source: RNAcentral
AGAGUUUGAUCAUGGCUCAGGACGAACGCUGGCGGCGUGCUUAACACAUGCAAGUCGAACGGAAAGGCCCCUUCGGGGGUACUCGAGUGGCGAACGGGUGAGUAACACGUGGGUGAUCUGCCCUGCACUUUGGGAUUAGCCUGGGAAACUGGGUCUAAUACCGAAUAGGACCGCAUGCUUCAUGGUGUGUGGUGGAAAGCUUUUGCGGUGUGGGAUGGGCCCGCGGCCUAUCAGCUUGUUGGUGGGGUAAUGGCCUACCAAGGCGACGACGGGUAGCCGGCCUGAGAGGGUGUCCGGCCACACUGGGACUGAGAUACGGCCCAGACUCCUACGGGAGGCAGCAGUGGGGAAUAUUGCACAAUGGGCGCAAGCCUGAUGCAGCGACGCCGCGUGGGGGAUGACGGCCUUCGGGUUGUAAACCUCUUUCAGUAUCGGCGAAGCUCCAGGAUUUUUCUUGGGGUGACGGUAGGUACAGAAGAAGCACCGGCCAACUACGUGCCAGCAGCCGCGGUAAUACGUAGGGUGCGAGCGUUGUCCGGAAUUACUGGGCGUAAAGAGCUCGUAGGUGGUUUGUCACGUUGUCUGUGAAAACUCACAGCUUAACUGUGGGCGUGCGGGCGAUACGGGCAGACUGGAGUACUGUAGGGGAGACUGGAAUUCCUGGUGUAGCGGUGGAAUGCGCAGAUAUCAGGAGGAACACCGGUGGCGAAGGCGGGUCUCCGGGCAGUAACUGACGCUGAGGAGCGAAAGCGUGGGGAGCGAACAGGAUUAGAUACCCUGGUAGUCCAA